RNAcentral lists this ribosomal RNA (372 nucleotides) under uncultured bacterium. Its description in RNAcentral is "bacterial SSU rRNA". It matches the Rfam family "Bacterial small subunit ribosomal RNA", at positions 524 to 898 of the family's 1533-position model. The record is from RNAcentral.
UACGGAGGAUCCGAGCGUUAUCCGGAUUUACUGGGUUUAAAGGGUGCGUAGGCGGGCGUCUAAGUCAGCGGUGAAAGUCUGCGGCUCAACCGUAGGAUUGCCGUUGAUACUGGGCGCCUUGGAUUCGGUCGAGGCGGGCGGAAUGCGUGGUGUAGCGGUGAAAUGCUUAGAUAUCACGCAGAACGCCGAUUGCGAAGGCAGCUCGCCGGGCCGAAAUCGACGCUGAGGCACGAAAGCGUGGGGAUCGAACAGGAUUAGAUACCCUGGUAGUCCACGCCGUAAACGAUGAUGGCUGGAUGUUGGCGAUAAACAGUCAGCGUCUGAGCGAAAGCAUUAAGCCAUCCACCUGGGGAGUACGGCCGCAAGGCUGAA